UACGAACUGUCCUAACGUUGUUCGGAAUCAUUGGGCGUAAAGCGCGUGUAGGCGGCCCGGUAAGUCCGCUGUGAAAGUCCAGGGCUCAACCCUGGAAUGCCAGUGGAUACUGUCGGGCUCGAGUCCGGAAGAGGCGAGUGGAAUUCCUGGUGUAGCGGUGAAAUGCGCAGAUAUCAGGAGGAACACCGAUGGCGAAGGCAACUCGCUGGGACGGUACUGACGCUGAGACGCGAAAGCGUGGGGAGCAAACAGG
This 253-nucleotide ribosomal RNA is filed under the name uncultured bacterium. Its description in RNAcentral is "partial 16S ribosomal RNA". It matches the Rfam family "Bacterial small subunit ribosomal RNA", at positions 524 to 776 of the family's 1533-position model. The record is from RNAcentral.